This 1346-nucleotide ribosomal RNA is filed under the name uncultured bacterium. Its description in RNAcentral is "bacterial SSU rRNA". It matches the Rfam family "Bacterial small subunit ribosomal RNA", at positions 28 to 1381 of the family's 1533-position model. The record is from RNAcentral.
GACGAACGCUGGCGGCGUGCUUAACACAUGCCUUUCGAACGGAAAGGCCCUGCUUUUGGGGGGUGCUCGAGUGGCGAACGGGUGAGUAACACGUGAGUAACCUGCCCUUGACUUUGGGAUAACUUCAGGAAACUGGGGCUAAUACCGGAUAGGGGCUCCUGCUGCAUGGUGGGGGUUGGAAAGUUUCGGCGGUUGGGGAUGGACUCGCGGCUUAUCAGCUUGUUGGUGGGGUAGUGGCUUACCAAGGCUUUGACGGGUAGCCGGCCUGAGAGGGUGACCGGCCACAUUGGGACUGAGAUACGGCCCAGACUCCUACGGGAGGCAGCAGUGGGGAAUAUUGCACAAUGGGCGGAAGCCUGAUGCAGCAACGCCGCGUGCGGGAUGACGGCCUUCGGGUUGUAAACCGCUUUCGCCUGUGACGAAGCGUGAGUGACGGUAAUGGGUAAAGAAGCACCGGCUAACUACGUGCCAGCAGCCGCGGUGAUACGUAGGGUGCGAGCGUUGUCCGGAUUUAUUGGGCGUAAAGGGCUCGUAGGUGGUUGAUCGCGUCGGAAGUGUAAUCUUGGGGCUUAACCCUGAGCGUGCUUUCGAUACGGGUUGACUUGAGGAAGGUAGGGGAGAAUGGAAUUCCUGGUGGAGCGGUGGAAUGCGCAGAUAUCAGGAGGAACACCAGUGGCGAAGGCGGUUCUCUGGGCCUUUCCUGACGCUGAGGAGCGAAAGCGUGGGGAGCGAACAGGCUUAGAUACCCUGGUAGUCCACGCUGUAAACGGUGGGUACUAGGUGUGGGGUCCAUUCCACGGGUUCCGUGCCGUAGCUAACGCUUUAAGUACCCCGCCUGGGGAGUACGGCCGCAAGGCUAAAACUCAAAGGAAUUGACGGGGCCCCGCACAAGCGGCGGAGCAUGCGGAUUAAUUCGAUGCAACGCGUAGAACCUUACCUGGGUUUGACAUGGAUCGGGAGUGCUCAGAGAUGGGUGUGCCUCUUUUGGGGUCGGUUCACAGGUGGUGCAUGCCUGUCGUCAGCUCGUGUCGUGAGAUGUUGGGUUAAGUCCCGCAACGAGCGCAACCCUUGUUCACUGUUGCCAGCACGUUAUGGUGGGGACUCAGUGGAGACCGCCGGGGUCAACUCGGAGGAAGGUGGGGAUGACGUCAAGUCCUCAUGCCCCUUAUGUCCAGGGCUUCACGCAUGCUACAACGGCUGGUACAGAGAGUGGCGAGCCUGUGAGGGUGAGCGAAUCUCGGAAAGCCGGUCUCAGUUCGGAUUGGGGUCUGCAACUCGACCUCAUGAAGUCGGAGUCGCUAGUAAUCGCAGAUCAGCAACGCUGCGGUGAAUACGUUCCCGGGGCU